AGAGUUUGAUCAUGGCUCAGAAUCAACGCUGGCGGCGUGCCUCAGACAUGCAAGUCGAACGCGAAAGGUUCCUUCGGGAACCGAGUAGAGUGGCGCACGGGUGAGUAACACGUAGGUAAUUUGCCUUCGGGUGGGGAAUAACAGCCGGAAACGGCUGCUAAUACCGCAUAAUGCAGCGGCUCGACAUCGAGACAGUUGUUAAAGCGGGGGAUCGCAAGACCUCGCGCCUGAAGAGAAGCCUGCGGCAGGUUAGCUAGUUGGCAGGGUAAUGGCCUACCAAGGCGACGAUCUGUAACCGGCCUGAGAGGGCGGUCGGUCACACUGACACUGACAUACGGGUCAGACUCCUACGGGAGGCAGCAGUCGGGAAUUUUGGGCAAUGGGCGAAAGCCUGACCCAGCAACGCCGCGUGAAGGAUGAAAUCCCUCGGGAUGUAAACUUCGCAAGAAUGGGAAGAAUAAGUGCGGGCUAACACCACGUACGAUGACGGUACCAUUUGUAAGCUCCGGCUAACUCCGUGCCAGCAGCCGCGGUAAUACGGGGGGAGCAAGCGUUGUUCGGAUUUACUGGGCGUAAAGGGCGCGUAGGCGGCCACGACAAGUCACUUGUGAAAUCUCCGGGCUUAACUCGGAACGGUCAAGUGAUACUGUCGGGCUAGAGUGCAGAAGGGGCAACUGGAAUUCUCGGUGUAGCGGUGAAAUGCGUAGAUAUCGAGAGGAACACCUGCGGCGAAGGCGGGUUGCUGGGCCGACACUGACGCUGAGGCGCGAAAGCCAGGGGAGCGAACGGGAUUAGAUACC
This 800-nucleotide ribosomal RNA is filed under the name uncultured bacterium. Its description in RNAcentral is "bacterial SSU rRNA". It matches the Rfam family "Bacterial small subunit ribosomal RNA", at positions 8 to 786 of the family's 1533-position model. The record is from RNAcentral.